GGGUGGGUUUCCACAACCCCAAAGUUCAGAUAGCAACCGUUUGAUAGUUUUAGCGUGACAACUGGAUCUCAUUUAAAUAGUAAACUGAGAUUUUGGAUCUCACUACACUCAAGCCAUUGCCCUUCUUCUCCAGGUCACAAUUACAAUAACAACAGACCGAAUGAUCAAUGACGGAAUUGCAUCAUAUCAGUAUUUCCCAUCGUGCUGCCAUUAAACUGAAUGACCUGCAGUUCUUUUGAAGUCUUCGCUGCAUUGGGUGCUGCUCAAGGAGCCAUUGGGAGGGAGGUUUUUGGAUAAGGUGUCCUUGCACUGUCAACACUUGAAGAAAUCAAAGCCUCCUUUCCCCUUCCUGUGUGAAAACGCCCUGAUGUUUUCAAUUUCCUGGACUUCACACUGUAAGAGAGCACCAAAACAAACAGAGACAGAGCAAACGGGAAUGAAAGACUGCAGUGUUUUGGGGAGCCCGGACUGCACAUGUAAAUUCCUUGUCAGCGGGCUGGAGUGAAGGGUGACAGGUGAGUUGACAGGAGACAAAAGAAAGAGAAGAAAACAGCUGCACUAAAAAAUGGCCUUUAGUCAGACAAAUAAGGGGAUUCCACAUAACAGGUUAAACUCCUAUAUGGACAAUAAUGUUGCAUAUUCUUUCUAAAUCACAAAGGAAAUGUAACAGUACCCACAGUUUAAUAUAAAACUGUUACACGUCAAUUUUCUUCCCAGUUAGUGAAACAAUCACUAUACGACAAGUUGCAUAACAGACUAAAUCUGCUAUUAAUGUAAAAGAAGUCUCAUAAAAACCUGUUGCAUAACAUGUGUUCUUUUCCAGUAUAUUCUUUGAUGUCCCAAAAAUAAUUUGAACCUGUUAAAGAUGAAAACUUCCAGUGAAUGGCAGUGUGCUCGUGGCUAGUUUCCAUCACAGUUCUUCCCUUCCAUACAGGUCCCCUCUUCUUCUUCUUCUUCCAUUCGUUUUAAUAGAUUCACCGAGAAAAAAAAAUAAAAACGAGACCAUUGCUGCUGGCUGGCCAAAAAAAGAAAAGCUUGGCUCAACCUUCUUUGUUCAUUGACUUUCCAUUGCAAAUCCAGCAGGCAUUCUCUCUCAGCUCUCCUUUUCCCUGACCACAGCUAUGGCUUUGGAUACAGCAGCAAGUCUGUCCUUUCUCCUUUUGUGUUUGAAGAUAAUGCCCACUGUUUGAAGUGAAGGGAAUUUAAGGCAAGUUUAAGGAAAAAUCGGGCCUGAAAGAAGAGACCUGUCUAUAUUUGUGACGACUAACAAUGUAAAAUCAAGGCUAGAUUCAAGAAAGAGUUACACAAAAAUACUACAACGUAGGCCUCUUUGAGUUAUUAUUGAUGAAGCAGCUAUAGUUAGUUUUUUUGUUGUUUUUAUUUUAAUUUCUUUCAUUUUGUCACAAAUAGGUGCCCUUGGCAAUCUAGCCUCUAAAGUGUGUUGUCCAUCCUCACAAAUACAGGGGGAAAUAUUUUAAGCUCAAGUCUUAUUUGGGACUAUUUUUUUUAGUUAGAUUCAAAUUAAACUACUUUACUUGUCAACCAGAACGAAUUGAGGGAAACAAUAAAAAUUAGUAUCAAAAUAUCAAGUUUGUUUGUUUUGGGGGUUUCUGUUUUUUGAGAAAAUCUGCAUCAUUAAAAAUGCGCCACCUCCUGAGUGGUCUUCAAAUCUAAGCCAUGAGGCCACAGUUUAAGUAUUUGUCACAGCUAAAAGUCCAAAAGUCAUGCAUGGGUUUGGUCUGUACCGAGUAAAAUCCUGCCACAC
This is a long non-coding RNA of Oreochromis niloticus (Nile tilapia), 1765 nucleotides long. The record is from Ensembl. Lineage: Eukaryota; Metazoa; Chordata; Actinopteri; Cichliformes; Cichlidae.